RNAcentral lists this unclassified non-coding RNA (185 nucleotides) under uncultured cyanobacterium. RNAcentral describes it as "partial 16S-23S ribosomal RNA intergenic spacer". The record is from RNAcentral. Lineage: Bacteria; Bacillati; Cyanobacteriota.
CGGUUCGAGUCCGUUUACCUCCACUGAUACACCUCCAGCUAAAGAACCAAUGGAGAUUCUUGUUUUAGAUGACUUAGAUUUAGUUUUACUUGAGAUAGAACCUAGCUUCUUAUCAUUCCUCUUUUUAAAAAGGUUGAUAUGACGCUGGGCUCACUGAGAUUUAAAGAUCUCAGAAAAGUUCAGUA